Molecule: ribosomal RNA, 441 nt
Filed under: uncultured bacterium
Lineage: Bacteria
Description: partial 16S ribosomal RNA
Rfam family: Bacterial small subunit ribosomal RNA
Source: RNAcentral
CCUACGGGAGGCAGCAGUCGGGAAUAUUGCGCAAUGGAGGAAACUCUGACGCAGUGACGCCGCGUGCAGGAAGAAGGGUUUCGGAUUGUAAACCGCUUUAGACAGGGAAGAACAUAGCCAGUACUUUUAGAAUAAGCUCCGGCUAACUACGUGCCAGCAGCCGCGUUAAUCCGUAGGGAGCAAGCGUUUUCCGGAUUUAUUGGGUUUAAAGGGUGCGUAGACGGAGAAGCAAGUUAGUUGUGAAAUCCCUCGGCGUAACUGAGGAACUGCAACUAAAACUACUUCCCUUGAGUACUGGAGAGGAAGGUGGAAUUACUAGUGUAGCGGUGAAAUGCGUAGAUAUUAGGAGGAACACCAGUGGCGAAGGCGACUUGCUGGACAGUAACUGACGUUGAGGCACGAAAGUGUGGGGAGCAAACAGGAUUAGAUACCCUGGUAGUC